RNAcentral lists this small nucleolar RNA (90 nucleotides) under Eutrema salsugineum. Its description in RNAcentral is "Plant small nucleolar RNA R71". It matches the Rfam family "Plant small nucleolar RNA R71". From Rfam's summary of the family: R71 is a member of the C/D box family of snoRNAs containing the C (UGAUGA) and D (CUGA) box motifs. Multiple nearly identical copies of this snoRNA have been identified in Arabidopsis, and it is thought to function as a 2'-O-ribose methylation guide for 18S ribosomal RNA. The record is from Rfam by way of RNAcentral. Lineage: Eukaryota; Viridiplantae; Streptophyta; Magnoliopsida; Brassicales; Brassicaceae.
AAACCAUGAUGAGGGCAGUCUCUCUCAUACUCCUUGAAUCGCUCCCAGGCUUCAUACAAUGACUACCUCAAGAAACUUCAAGCUGUGUCU